UACGGAGGGUGCAAGCGUUAUCCGGAAUCAUUGGGUUUAAAGGGUCCGUAGGCGGAUUGAUAAGUCAGAGGUGAAAUCCCGCAGCUUAACUGUGGAACUGCCUUUGAUACUGUCAGUCUUGAGUUAUGUGGAAGUAGAUAGAAUGUGUAGUGUAGCGGUGAAAUGCUUAGAGAUUACACAGAAUACCGAUUGCGAAGGCAGUCUACUACGUAUAUACUGACGCUAAUGGACGAAAGCGUGGGGAGCGAACAGG
This 253-nucleotide ribosomal RNA is filed under the name uncultured bacterium. RNAcentral's name for it is "partial 16S ribosomal RNA". It matches the Rfam family "Bacterial small subunit ribosomal RNA", at positions 524 to 776 of the family's 1533-position model. The record is from RNAcentral.